RNAcentral lists this ribosomal RNA (363 nucleotides) under uncultured archaeon. RNAcentral's name for it is "bacterial SSU rRNA". It matches the Rfam family "Archaeal small subunit ribosomal RNA", at positions 345 to 719 of the family's 1478-position model. The record is from RNAcentral.
AACCUCCGCAAUGUGAGAAGUCGCGACGGGGGGAUCCCAAGUGCCAUUCUUAACGGGAUGGCUUUUCAUUAGUGCUUUUGGAAUAAGAGCUGGCAAGACCGGUGCCAGCCGCCGCGGUAACACCGGCAGCUCUAGUGGUAGCAGUUUUUAUUGGGCCUAAAGCGUCCGUAGCCGGUUUAAUAAGUCUCUGGUGAAAUCCUGCAGCUUAACUGUGGGAAUGCUGGAGAUACUAUUAGACUUGAGAUCGGGAGAGGUUAGAGGUACUCCCAGGGUAGAGGUGAAAUUCUGUAAUCCUGGGAGGACCGCCUGUUGCGAAGCGUCUGACUGGAACGAUCUGACGGUGAGGGACGAAAGCUAGGGGGC